Molecule: ribosomal RNA, 736 nt
Filed under: Dinophysis acuminata
Lineage: Eukaryota; Dinophyceae; Dinophysales; Dinophysaceae
Description: partial 24S ribosomal RNA
Rfam family: Eukaryotic large subunit ribosomal RNA
Source: RNAcentral
AUCACCUGCUGAAUUUAAGCAUAUAAGUAAGCGGAGGACAAGAAACUAAACAGGAUCCCCAUAGUAAUGGCGAAUGAACCGGGAUAAACUCAGCAUGGAAAUUGGGGCCUUUGGCUUUGACUUGUAAUCUGGUGAGGCAUUGCCAACAGAGGCGCAUAUGUAAGUCUCUUGGAAAAGAGCAUCAACGAAGGUGAGAGUCCUGAUUGUCAUGUGCAGCCCCCCUGUGCACGGUGUGCCUUCUAAGAGUCACGUUCCUUGGGAUUGGAGCGCAAAUUGGGUGGUAACUUUCAUCUGAAGUUAAACAAUGGUUUGGGACCGAUAGGAAACAAGUACCAUGAGGGAAAGGUGAAAAGGACUUUGGAAAGAGAGUUAAAAGUGCCUGAAAUUGCUGAAGGGGAAGCGAAUGGAACCAGUGGUGCUGGGUGAGAUUGUCACAUGCUGCAAGGAUUGGUUGCUGCCACAACGCAAGUGUGCUGGCAAUUUGUGAACUGCUAGUGUGUGGUGUGUCUUACCUAGUGGGUCAUUGUGGGUUUAUGCAUUAAGAUAAAUCAAAGCAAGCGGGAGCAAGUUUACGAGUUUGUGAAUGUGUGUUGUUAUGCUUGUGCGUAAGCUUUAGUGUUUGUCUGGCUGCAGGGCUGUCCAUCCUCAAGCUUUGCUGUGGUUGCGAUGAGCAUAACCUUCUGCACAGAUCUUGACGAAAUGGUUUCAUUCGACCCGUCUUGAAACACGGACCAAG